Molecule: ribosomal RNA, 301 nt
Filed under: uncultured bacterium
Lineage: Bacteria
Description: partial 16S ribosomal RNA
Rfam family: Bacterial small subunit ribosomal RNA
Source: RNAcentral
CAGCCGCCGCGGUAAUCCGUAGGGUGCGAGCGCUAAUCGGAAUUACUGGGCGUAAAGCGUGCGCAGGCGGUUGUGUAAGACAGGUGUGAAAUCCCCCGGGCUUAACCUGGGAACUGCGCUUGUGACUGCACAGCUAGAGUAUGGCAGAGGGGGGUGGAAUUCCACGUGUAGCAGUGAAAUGCGUAGAGAUGUGGAGGAACACCGAUGGCGAAGGCAGCCCCCUGGGCCAAUACUGACGCUCAUGCACGAAAGCGUGGGGAGCAAACAGGAUUAGAGACCCGUGUAGUCCCUGUCUCUUAUA